UACGGAGGGGGCUAGCGUUGUUCGGAAUUACUGGGCGUAAAGCGCACGUAGGCGGCUUUGUAAGUUAGAGGUGAAAGCCCGGGGCUCAACUCCGGAAUUGCCUUUAAGACUGCAUCGCUAGAAUUGUGGAGAGGUAAGUGGAAUUCCGAGUGUAGAGGUGAAAUUCGUAGAUAUUCGGAAGAACACCAGUGGCGAAGGCGACUUACUGGACACAUAUUGACGCUGAGGUGCGAGAGCGUGGGGAGCAAACAGG
Molecule: ribosomal RNA, 253 nt
Filed under: uncultured bacterium
Lineage: Bacteria
Description: partial 16S ribosomal RNA
Rfam family: Bacterial small subunit ribosomal RNA
Source: RNAcentral